GCGCGAAAACUUCGCACUGUGCGAAAGCACGACGAGGGAAUCCCAAGUGCUUGCUCGUUAGAGUAAGCUGUUUUUAUGUCUAAAACACAUAGAGAGUAAGAGCUGGGUAAGACGGGUGCCAGCCGCCGCGGUAAUACCUGCAGCUCAAGUGGUGACCACUAUUAUUGGGCCUAAAACGUCCGUAGCCUGUUUACUAAAUGCCCGGGUAAAUCGUGUAGCUUAACUAUACGAAUUCCGGGUAGACUGGUAAACUUGAGAUCGGGAGAAGUUGUAGGUACUCCUGGGGUAGAGGUGAAAUUCUGUAAUCCUAGGGGGACCACCAGUGGCGAAGGCGUCUUACUAGAACGAGUCUGACGGUGAGGGACGAAGCCCUGGGGCGCAAACGGGAUUAGAUACCCCCGGUAGUCCAGGGUGUAAACGCUGCUUGCUUGAUGUUAGUCGGGCUCCGAGCCCGAUUAGUGUCGGAGAGAAGUUGUUAAGCAAGCUGCCUGGGAAGUACGGUCGCAAGACUGAAACUUAAAGGAAUUGGCGGGGGAGCGACUGCAAC
Molecule: ribosomal RNA, 547 nt
Filed under: uncultured Thermoplasmatales archaeon
Lineage: Archaea; Methanobacteriati; Thermoplasmatota; Thermoplasmata; Thermoplasmatales
Description: bacterial SSU rRNA
Rfam family: Archaeal small subunit ribosomal RNA
Source: RNAcentral